AGAGGAGCUCAUUACCUGGAAAGGGAACUUCACGGUGGUUUUUGCACAAACUCAGAUCAGCUAAUGAAAAGCGGAAGGAAGAGUCAGUCAGCCAAGAACAAGAAGACGGGAGACAGAGCACCUGCAGGAGACGGUCCCUCGCUGAAACAUCAAGUUGCUCAAAGGAAAGUAAGAAAUGCCUGGCUUACCUGGAAGAGGCAUGCCACCAGAGGUAUGACUGAGGGCGAGGUCUAGUGUUUAAACACUGAUUAGCGUCUCAGCAUUACCCGAGGCUGGGUCAUGAGCUGCGGCUUUGAUUUACCAUUCUCUCUGGAAUGAGACCUUUCCAGGAGCUUGUAAGAUCGCCUAAAUUAUGUAUAAAUGAGGUAAAACUGUCUGUCUUAAAAGCCACUCUCUUUUUAAAAAGUAGGCAUGAGUCUCAAGCUGUACAGUAUCAGAGCGUUUAAUCGCCUUUUCUAGAAUGUUCUGAGUACUUUAAAAAUGAAGAGCAAUACUAACUUAAAUACAAUCUGACUCCCGAAGGUUCUUGGAUGAGCACACAUACACAGUUUUAAAGAAAACAAAUUAGACAUUCCUCGCAAGUCAUACAUGAAGCCUACUAUCCCGUUAGGUAAG
RNAcentral lists this long non-coding RNA (615 nucleotides) under Mus spicilegus (steppe mouse). RNAcentral's name for it is "lncRNA (ENSMSIG00000027764.1)". The record is from RNAcentral. Lineage: Eukaryota; Metazoa; Chordata; Mammalia; Rodentia; Muridae.